GAAGAAAACUUGAAUACUUCUAAGUAUUAAUAAAGUUUAAUAAAAAUACAAAAUUUCUUUAACACUGUCUUUAGAUAUGGUUUUAGAAGAUGUGACUGAAUAUGAAAGCACUCCAGAAGGUCGAAGAGUCACAAAAUUAGAUGAAAUUUUGUUGAAUGGCAAUAACAUAACAAUGAUGGUACCUGGAGGCGAUAUGCCUGAUACCUAAUUAAAUUUAUCUAAUAUUUAUGUUUCCAUCUUGUGAAUGUAAAAAAUAUGUAAUAAAAGUUUUUGUGAGCUAAAAUUUCUUUUAAAUUUUUAUAUAGCUUGUUUUGAAAGUUUCUGAAUCUUAUUGACAUAU
Centruroides sculpturatus (bark scorpion) is the source of this 340-nucleotide long non-coding RNA. RefSeq lists it as uncharacterized. The transcript has 3 exons. Lineage: Eukaryota; Metazoa; Arthropoda; Arachnida; Scorpiones; Buthidae. The record is from RefSeq and is a predicted model, not a curated record.